GUUACUUAAGAAAUUAACUAAAACCACACAUUUAUUAGUAAUAGAACUUAAGCCAGUUUAAGCGCUUAAAAUAUUGCUCCUCUGCAGAUCUCACAGGACACCACCACCUUGCCAUGCCGGUCUGAUGGCCAGCAUUCACAGCGUCCUGCAGCUACACAAGGAGCUCCGGAGUGAGGGCAUAACCGUAUUAUGCACCUCAAAAUUAAACCAGGACUGCCUGGAGAACCUUUUCUCAGUAAUCAGAGGGAAAGGGGGGCAUCGUUUUCACCCGACAGCCCGGGAAUUUGCCUCAGCUCUCAAAAGUGCGUGUGUCGCAGGCCUGGUUGAUGCUGAGGGAAGUGGCACGAACUGCCUGCCUGACGGCUCAACAGUCCUGGUGACCAGCGAGGGAGGAAGAGGCACACUUCAGGUUAGACCGAUACAACAAAAAAAAGACUGAAACGGCAAAAACACUUAUAAAAACAAUGGUCAAUGCCAUCUCACCAGUAGCCAUAGUUCCCCAGUGUAAUCAAGAUUUUGUUUAAAUCAAACUCCAAUGUAACCCAACUACUCUCGUCUUGUAUUUCAGUUACUGUUCUUUUUUUUAAUCGAAUUUUAAUGCACCAGACAAAGACACAUCCUUGAAAGAAUGACUGCAUUUGCAAUGUGUUUCACUCCUCUAGAACAUCACUCCAGCAUCAAACCAGCUACCUACCCAGGCUCCCGAGGAGGUAAUGACAUGUUUCAUGAAAUCAAAAAAUAUGACUAGUUGGGGGCAGGCAAACUAUCUACAGUUAUGCAUUGAAUUUUGUGUGUAUUUGGAAAUCACAGGGCGUCAAUGAGGAACUACAGGAAGGGGAGGAGGAAGCCCUCAACUAUGUGGCCGGCUGGGUAUGCCAAAAGGUGAAGGAGGACCCCGAACUCGGGCAGUGCAGUGAAUGCGAGCGUGUGCUCACAAAGCACAAUGAUGCAGAACAUUCAUACUGCACUGCCAUGAGGGAGGGAUCCUUCCUAAGGCAGAAGCAAUAUUCUUCAACUGCAGGCCUGUGCAACCCCUCAGACGUGCUCGGGUUGGCUAUAAACAAAUCUGAGGUGGCCAUCAAGAGAGCCCUGCCACGGGUCUGGGGAUCAAGGGGCAUCACAAGAGCCCUUCAGGACCUCUUAAAACAUGAGGGGGCAUUUGAACAGAUCUUAGAAGCCCACCCUACACAUGGAAAGAAAAUCGAAAGAGUGGCCUCCAAAAAAUGUAUCAUGUGUAGGGUGGGAGCCGCAAUUAAGAGGAUGAAUGAGGAUGUGGAGGGAGGGAAGAGGCAAAAAGAAAAGACGGCAAGGAAGUUGGCGUGCCUGAACACUAGCCCUAAUGUUUGCUGACGUUACAAAAUUAACUAAAAAUAAUCAAAUGUGUGUGAGUGACUGUGUGUGUGUGUGAGAGAGAGAAACGUAAAACGAAUGAAUGGGACAAUAACGUCAGCAAUUAAAUAAAUUCCUAUUAUUGAUAACA
Molecule: long non-coding RNA, 1480 nt
Organism: Engraulis encrasicolus (European anchovy)
Lineage: Eukaryota; Metazoa; Chordata; Actinopteri; Clupeiformes; Engraulidae
Exons: 2
Source: RefSeq, a predicted model, not a curated record